This is a long non-coding RNA of Xenopus tropicalis (tropical clawed frog), 218 nucleotides long. RefSeq lists it as uncharacterized. The record is from RefSeq and is a predicted model, not a curated record. The transcript is spliced from 2 exons. Lineage: Eukaryota; Metazoa; Chordata; Amphibia; Anura; Pipidae.
UUUGGUACUUAGCAGGGAUAGAUACAUUUUCUCUGUCUGCUGCGAGUAGGUAUCCAGUGGGACCUGUUUUUUCUACAGCACUGUGUCACUUUGGAUAUUGCAAACUACAAGCCACUUUUCUGCGAUGUUAAUAGAAACUACUAUAUCAAUAAUAGUUAAUAGAAACUAUUAUAUUACUUGACACUUUAUGAAUUUUGUAUAAAGAUUUUACACCCAUA